UGGAGGAAGACACCACCGACCUUUGGACAGCCGUGACCUUCAUCGUCCUCUUCCUCCUCAGCCUCUGUUACAGCACCGGCGUCACCCUCUUCAAGGUCCUGUGACCGCCGCAGACGGGAGAAGACCCUCGUCCUUGGGUUGUCCUCUCUCUUUCCCCCAUGGCCGAGCGCUGCCCGGCGUCGUUUUGUGGCUUUUUUGAAGAUUCAAGGAAUAAAAUGAACUUCAGCCCGUUUCCAUCAGCCGGAAAAAAAAACAUUUUCCAAUGAAAUCAGCUCAUUUUCGUUGGGGCAUCACACCCCAAUCCCCAUCAAGCUGCAAAAAAACCCCAUUUUCCAAUGAAAUCAGCCUGUUUUCGUUGGGGCAUCACACCCCAAUCCCCAUCAAGUUACAAAACCCCCCAUUUUCUCCUGAAAUCAGCCUGUUUUGUGUUGGUGUAUCACCCUGAUUCCCAUCAAACUACAAAAAAACCCCAUUUUUGCCAGAAAUGAGCCCAUUUUGCGUUGGUGCAUCACCCCUAAAUUCCCAUCAAGCUUCAAAAAACCUAAUUUAUCCCCAUUUUUGCCCCCCAAUUGUUCACCUCCACACGGCGACUACGUGCCAGAGGACCCAAAAUUUCACCUUUUACCCCAACCUCCACCCCCAAAAAUUCUGUUUACUGUAAAAACUCGUUUCAUUUCUCCUCUCUCUUUUCAGUUAGGGGUUUUUUGGGGGCGAGCUGAGUCAUUUUUGGAGCAGACGCCGGUUAAAAUAAGAGGGGGACGGGCGCCGCUUCCCCCCAACAUCGUGCCCAAGCUCGACCGCGAACAUCUGGAUCUGGGGGGGGGGGGAACCAGAUGUGUCCUGUUUACCGAAGCCACUUUUCUCCAUCUGAGUCAUCACCAGGAGAGGAAAAAACAUGGGCAGGGUAAAAAUAGAACUACGAGCCAAACCUUAAAUAGUUGUUUCCGUCCCAAAAUGCCCUGCUCCUUUCCCGUGAGAAAAAAAAUGAGGUGGAAAUGAGGAAAAAUGGUGGUUUAUGGGAGAUUUUCCCCCCCCCGCCACGUGGAAAUGAGGAAUUUGGUAAUAAAGUUGGGUGUUGAGCUCUU
Molecule: long non-coding RNA, 1085 nt
Organism: Aquila chrysaetos chrysaetos
Lineage: Eukaryota; Metazoa; Chordata; Aves; Accipitriformes; Accipitridae
Exons: 2
Source: RefSeq, a predicted model, not a curated record